UCUCGACAGACUCACUACAUACAUUAUAGCCGACGGCCGCCCAAUGUCACUCCUGUUGGCAGACACUAAGCCUCAUGUACCAUCCACACCACCCCGACUGGACGAGACACUACAAAGGAUGACUUGAGCCAACAAAAACGCCCCUAAGCGGCCCACAUAAAUACACACAAUUAACUGACUAGUCGAUACUCACAUAUCGCCCCUAACUAGACAGCACGACACAGCGACGGACUAUGAGCCCUCACAGGCAAGAACAACGGUCUCCGGACCUCCACCACCCCCAAGGAGGGGAAGAGAUAAAAUGAGACAGAUCUAACACUGCACGUUAUCCACACCCAAUCAGUUGAUAAACGUCAGACACAUCACCCUGACCCCCAUGAGAACCCUGAUUAUACACCAUAUGACAAAACAGGCUGACUGGGACCUGACCGGACAGACGAACCAUCCGAGGGACUGGGUGUUGCAGAACACAACGACCCUCACAUGUAGGGACCCCUCGCCCUCAACCCUCCUUACUUAUGACGACGAUAUACCUUCACACCCACGGGGCAUUACGGCUAACUUGUACCUCAUACCUCCAUCAACACAAGACACCUAAUACGACACUUCCAACGCACGCCUAUUGCGACAUGC
Pelobates cultripes (western spadefoot toad) is the source of this 633-nucleotide non-coding RNA. The record is from the annotation of a GenBank genome assembly. Lineage: Eukaryota; Metazoa; Chordata; Amphibia; Anura; Pelobatidae.